This 467-nucleotide ribosomal RNA is filed under the name uncultured bacterium. RNAcentral's name for it is "partial 16S ribosomal RNA". It matches the Rfam family "Bacterial small subunit ribosomal RNA", at positions 28 to 507 of the family's 1533-position model. The record is from RNAcentral.
GGUGAACGCUGGCGGCGUGCCUAAGACAUGCAAGUCGAGCGGGGCAGGUUUAUACCUGUUCAGCGGCGGACGGGUGAGUAACGCGUGGGUGACCUACCCGGAAGAGGCGGACAACCUGGGGAAACCCAGGCUAAUCCGCCAUGUGGUCCUGUCCUGUGGGGCAGGACUAAAGGGGCGACCCGCUUCCGGAUGGGCCCGCGUCCCAUCAGCUAGUUGGUGGGGUAAAGGCCCACCAAGGCGACGACGGGUAGCCGGUCUGAGAGGAUGGCCGGCCACAGGGGCACGGAAACACGGGCCCCACUCCUACGGGAGGCAGCAGUUAGGAAUCUUCCGCAAUGGACGGAAGUCUGACGGAGCGACGCCGCUUGGAGGAGGAAGCCCUUCGGGGUGUAAACUCCUGAACUGGGGACGAAAGCCCCGUGUAGGGGGAUGACGGUACCCAGGUAAUAGCGCCGGCCAACUCCGUG